Molecule: unclassified non-coding RNA, 309 nt
Filed under: Mycena sp.
Lineage: Eukaryota; Fungi; Basidiomycota; Agaricomycetes; Agaricales; Mycenaceae
Description: partial contains 5.8S ribosomal RNA, internal transcribed spacer 2, and large subunit ribosomal RNA
Source: RNAcentral
CGCACCUUGCACCCUCUGGUAUUCCGGAGGGUAUGCCUGUUUGAGUGUCAUUAAAUUCUCAACCUUGCAACUUCAUUGUUGUUCAAGGCUUGGAUGUGAGGGUUAUUGCUGGCUUCCUUCAGUGCGACGGUCAGCUCCCUUUAAAUGUAUUAGUGGAAUCCUUUGUGGAUCGUCACUGAGUGUGAUAACUAUUGUGCUCUGUGUACUCUGAAACAAUUUAAUAUGGAAUCUGCUUAUAACCGUCCUUCAGUUGGACACUUUAACCAAUGACUUGACCUCAAAUCAGGUAGGACUACCCGCUGAACUUAA